GGUGAGCAGGGGCUAGAGGUGGAGCGAGGGAGCAGAGGGAGGACCGCGGCGGGGGGAGGACGUGCGUGUGCUGUGUGUGUGAUGUAGCGGCGGUGGGAACCGAGACCUCGUGGGCGCGAACUCGGGGGGUGGCAGGCCGUUGGGCCGACGGCGCCUACUGGGCGGGCGGCCGCUGCUGGAGGAGGAGGGGCGCAGCAAGAAGGUGGGGCUCGUUGGUGGGCUCUCGCGGCGGCAGCGUGAAGGCUUCUUGAGCGCCGGUGGCACGGGGGACUCCGGGCGAUCGAACUGGUUCCCGAGGUGGCAGUAGGAGAGGAAGUGGAUGCCGGCGGGUAACCUCGCGCCGCGGCAAUGGGGCGGACGUAGCGGGCGAAGCAGUUGGAGGCCGGUGGUGAGCAGAGGCGAAACUAGGCGGCGGUAUCGACGAAGGAGCGGCGGGGGCUCGAGCGUGUGCCGGCGGGACGGGGCUCUGGCUACGGCGGGGACACUAGCUGAUGCAGCUACUACUGGGGAGGAACCGUCUCGUUGGUCUACGACCUCGGGUCCCCGGUCUACGGUGGCAGCUGCUACUGAGGAUGAUGUGGCCUCCACGGAUUAUGCACGUCGGGUUACUGCUGCUGGUCCGCAUCAAUCCUCCUAGGGUCCGUCCUCCGGAUGCGGAGAAAGCUAGACAUAGGGUCAAACACGAUCGGAAGAAUUCCGUUUGAACAAAUUGAAUACAGACAUGAGUCUAUAACAACGAAGGCGACUGAGCAGAUACUAGCUCGUGAACAUAAGCUCGGGAGCUCCGGGGACCGAACAUAAUACUACGAACAUACUGAAUAAAUACAACAUCUC
RNAcentral lists this ribosomal RNA (834 nucleotides) under Triticum aestivum (bread wheat). RNAcentral describes it as "partial small subunit ribosomal RNA". The record is from RNAcentral. Lineage: Eukaryota; Viridiplantae; Streptophyta; Magnoliopsida; Poales; Poaceae.